RNAcentral lists this ribosomal RNA (476 nucleotides) under uncultured bacterium. RNAcentral's name for it is "bacterial SSU rRNA". It matches the Rfam family "Bacterial small subunit ribosomal RNA", at positions 328 to 793 of the family's 1533-position model. The record is from RNAcentral.
UCAGUCGACUCCUACGGGGAGGCAGCAGUGGGGAAUAUUGCACAAUGGGGGGAAACCCUGAUGCAGCCAUGCCGCGUGUGUGAAGAAGGCCUUCGGGUUGUAAAGCACUUUCAGUAGGGGGGAAGGUAGUGUAGUUAACACCUGCACUAUUUGACGUUACCUACAGAAGAAGCACCGGCUAACUCCGUGCCAGCAGCCGCGGUAAUACGGAGGGUGCGAGCGUUAAUCGGAAUUACUGGGCGUAAAGCGCAUGCAGGCGGCCUGUUAAGUCAGAUGUGAAAGCCCGGGGCUUAACCUCGGAAUUGCAUUUGAAACUGGCAGGCUAGAGUCUUGUAGAGGGGGGUAGGAAUUUCAGGUGUAGCGGUGAAAUGCGUAGAGAUCUGAAGGAAUACCAGUGGCGAAGGCGGCCCCCUGGACAAAGACUGACGCUCAGAUGCGAAAGCGUGGGGAGCAAACAGGAUUAGAUACCCUGGUAG